Molecule: ribosomal RNA, 1172 nt
Filed under: Vibrio parahaemolyticus
Lineage: Bacteria; Pseudomonadati; Pseudomonadota; Gammaproteobacteria; Vibrionales; Vibrionaceae
Description: bacterial SSU rRNA
Rfam family: Bacterial small subunit ribosomal RNA
Source: RNAcentral
ACGAUAACGGCGUCGAGCGGCGGACGGGUGAGUAAUGCCUAGGAAAUUGCCCUGAUGUGGGGGAUAACCAUUGGAAACGAUGGCUAAUACCGCAUGAUGCCUACGGGCCAAAGAGGGGGACCUUCGGGCCUCUCGCGUCAGGAUAUGCCUAGGUGGGAUUAGCUAGUUGGUGAGGUAAGGGCUCACCAAGGCGACGAUCCCUAGCUGGUCUGAGAGGAUGAUCAGCCACACUGGAACUGAGACACGGUCCAGACUCCUACGGGAGGCAGCAGUGGGGAAUAUUGCACAAUGGGCGCAAGCCUGAUGCAGCCAUGCCGCGUGUGUGAAGAAGGCCUUCGGGUUGUAAAGCACUUUCAGUCGUGAGGAAGGUAGUGUAGUUAAUAGCUGCAUCGUGAAGAAGGCCUUCGGGUUGUAAAGCACUUUCAGUCGUGAGGAAGGUAGUGUAGUUAAUAGCUGCAUUAUUUGACGUUAGCGACAGAAGAAGCACCGGCUAACUCCGUGCCAGCAGCCGCGGUAAUACGGAGGGUGCGAGCGUUAAUCGGAAUUACUGGGCGUAAAGCGCAUGCAGGUGGUUUGUUAAGUCAGAUGUGAAAGCCCGGGGCUCAACCUCGGAAUUGCAUUUGAAACUGGCAGACUAGAGUACUGUAGAGGGGGGUAGAAUUUCAGGUGUAGCGGUGAAAUGCGUAGAGAUCUGAAGGAAUACCGGUGGCGAAGGCGGCCCCCUGGACAGAUACUGACACUCAGAUGCGAAAGCGUGGGGAGCAAACAGGAUUAGAUACCCUGGUAGUCCACGCCGUAAACGAUGUCUACUUGGAGGUUGUGGCCUUGAGCCGUGGCUUUCGGAGCUAACGCGUUAAGUAGACCGCCUGGGGAGUACGGUCGCAAGAUUAAAACUCAAAUGAAUUGACGGGGGCCCGCACAAGCGGUGGAGCAUGUGGUUUAAUUCGAUGCAACGCGAAGAACCUUACCUACUCUUGACAUCCAGAGAACUUUCCAGAGAUGGAUUGGUGCCUUCGGGAACUCUGAGACAGGUGCUGCAUGGCUGUCGUCAGCUCGUGUUGUGAAAUGUUGGGUUAAGUCCCGCAACGAGCGCAACCCUUAUCCUUGUUUGCCAGCGAGUAAUGUCGGGAACUCCAGGGAGACUGCCGGUGAUAAACCGGAGGAAGGUGGGG